UCAUUACCGCUGGUAGGACAUGGAGUGCCACACUUGUUACACUCAUUUCUUCUGGCAAAGUUCACGUUCCCACAACUACCACAACAAAUAAUAUAGCAUAAAAAUAUAUAACAAAUCAGAAUCAUAUGAAACCUAACAAUCAACAGAAGUAUAUUUGAAUGAAAACAGAAAUUUAUCCUCUAAAGCAAAUAGAAUACCUUUCAUUAGGGCAACGCCAAUCUCCAUCUCUGCCACUUCCACCUCCACCGCGGCCACCACGGCCACCACCACCUCUACCACCGCGAUCUCCGCCUUGAAAUCCACCACCA
RNAcentral lists this long non-coding RNA (308 nucleotides) under Lathyrus oleraceus (garden pea). RNAcentral's name for it is "Pisum sativum (pea) long non-coding RNA (PSAT_LNC019760)". The record is from RNAcentral. Lineage: Eukaryota; Viridiplantae; Streptophyta; Magnoliopsida; Fabales; Fabaceae.